Molecule: long non-coding RNA, 1469 nt
Filed under: Equus asinus (donkey)
Lineage: Eukaryota; Metazoa; Chordata; Mammalia; Perissodactyla; Equidae
Description: lncRNA (ENSEASG00005030914.1)
Source: RNAcentral
AGGAAGACUGCAGCCAGCAGUCAGACCACCAGACCACGUCUGUAGACUGCAUCGGUCACUGUGGCUGUGGGAUUAGGACUGACACCAAACCCCCGUGGUUUCAGCCCGUGUGGUCCUCUCCUGCCCGACCCUUCCGAGCACUGGCCCCAGACCUCCGUGGUCCACGCGUCCGCAGCCCGCAGGCUGUCACGGGAUGAAAUACAUGUCAGCUUCCCUGGCCCUCGGACCUUGGUGUUUCCUUCCGGCUUGACGGUUUGGAGGACACCUCCUGCUGCGGGAGGGCAGAGCGGGAGAUCCAGGAACAACCCAGCAGCCCCAGCCAGGGCUCAGGCCUGCAGAGACCUGCCCGCCCCGCCAGUCCCUGCAGGGGACCCAGGUCUGUGGGACUAGGGGCCAUGCCAGCAGGCCAGCCAUGAGUGGGGUCGCUCUGCCAUCCAGUGUCCUGAUGACGGCUCUGUGACAUGCAGAGUGGCUUCCCUCCUCUCUCACAGGGCCCCUGAUUGUCACCUUGGUAGCUUCUUCCCAAGUGCCCUCAGCUGCAGUCAGCGUUAGAAGGGCCUGACUGUGGCUAUUGAGCACACAUUGCAUAUCUGCUUGGACAUUUCCUAUGGCCAGAACAAAGGCCCUUGAGAUAAAGGUCCUCCCCCUCCGACAUUGGCAUUUCCUUAGGGAUAAGCAUCUUUCAUUAGGCUAGGAAGUGAUUGCUGCACUCACCUUUGACCACCCAGCUCACCUGUGACCACCCAGCUGGAGACAACAGACUGCCACCCUGCGGGGUUCACUGAGACAGAAGACCUGCCUGCUGUUUCCAUCAAUUGCUGUGCUGACAGAGCAGUCUCGCGACGAUUGUAAAAGGGACAUUUCAAUCCUAUGUGAAACAUCCUCUUUGGGGAUUGGUUAUGGAUUAUUUUCGUCGACAUUGGUGAGCCAGGAGCCUGGUGGAGAUUGGAAGAGGAGAGAGCAGUGGGAUUUGACCCGCCACCACCUCCUGCAGGGUCCCCUGGGACAGUCCCUGUCCCCCCACUUCCCAUCGCUUCUCUGGGGCAGUGUCCCCAUGGCCCUCUCACCCCCUUUGCAGCCUGGGCGGUAGGUCGCUCGUGACCCUGCAGCCAGCCCUGGAGGCACUGUGUGUGUCUCUGGUUUCCCGGGGUCCUGCCUACCCCUCUCCAAAUGGUGCUCAGAGGCCACUCUCUCCUGGUUUUCUGACUUGGGUGGUCAUCUGUUUCUGUUGGGAGCCUGAUUGAGACACUGCCUCUGCCUGACUCUCGAGGUGGGGGAGGGACUCCAUCGGCCACCCUCUCAGCCCUUCCCCAGGCAGAGGACAAACUGACACCCCCUGACCCCGCCCACGAACUCUUGGGGAGAGUGGACCUGAGCUAGGCCCUGCACAGAGAGUGACACUGCAGAGAAGGAUGUGUAGCCUUCCCCAGCUGGCCUGGGUGCCAGGGGCCUCAGACAGAAAGAUGCCC